UUUGAUUAGAUAAUAACAAUUACUGUACUACAGCUGUCUCAGGAGAUAGGCCAUAUCAUUACUUGAUAUAGUUCUCAUGACUAUUUUCUAGCAGUUCUGGAGAAUUUGACUCAUUUUAAAUGUACCCUAUAUAUUCAUCCCUUUCAUUGUAAUCCACUGAUGUGAAAAGAGAUCAUUUUAAAGAUAAAAGCACUGGCAUAACAAGAAAUCACCCACAGACUCUGCAAUCAAGUGCCAAGGUAAUAAGGUUGUUCAAAGCCAUGUAUUUACAAAAGCUUCAGAGUUUCAUUGCCCCCAAAAACAAAAACUUUGCAAUUUUUUUUGUUGAUACCUGAUAAAUGUCCAAUUUAAGCAGUGCCAAGAGGGAUAAGCAAAAUAUGCUCAUUAACCACUCACUAUCCAGCACUUUUCCAUCACCUCCAUUGCAUGCAGAAGGAUGGAGUGGGAAAAAGCAAUAAUUGGGAAUAAUCCAACACGUUUCAGAAAUAGGAGCUACCUUUGACUUCCAAAGGUUGGUAGCUCAUUUGACUUUUUUGACCAAUUAAGUAUCACUCUGAAUUUAUAUAAGCUAAUAGAUAUGUGUGUACUUAUUUAUUAUAUAUCCACAAAAACACAAUGAAAUUAACCUUAGUAUUUGAUAUAGUCACUUAACUAAAUGAUUCUUUUAAAUUGGUACCAUCCAGUUGUGUUGUAAUUCAGCUCCAUUUGAUAGACCCAUGGUUAUUUUGAAAAUUAUAUUCAAACAGUCCUCCUCAUAGAAGCCAUUGAAUCAAACUGGAACAAGAUAUUAAGUGGAGUAUCUAAGGAUCAGGAAUUUGUAUUAUUUCACUGAAAAUUAUUUCGUUGAAAAUGAAUCUGAGUAUUAGAGUGAGGAUAAAGUUUAUUUGGAUGUUAAGGUUAUGAUUAGAUAAAGUUUCAAAUUGAAAUUUAACAAGUACCAUUAGGAUUACAAAUAAUAUGAUGUUUAACUUUCAUGGUUUGUGGUGGUUUUCUGCUGAAAUCAAGUCUUUAGG
RNAcentral lists this long non-coding RNA (1013 nucleotides) under Naja naja (Indian cobra). RNAcentral describes it as "lncRNA (ENSNNAG00000005887.1)". Lineage: Eukaryota; Metazoa; Chordata; Lepidosauria; Squamata; Elapidae. The record is from RNAcentral.